Molecule: ribosomal RNA, 774 nt
Filed under: uncultured Sclerocystis
Lineage: Eukaryota; Fungi; Glomeromycota; Glomeromycetes; Glomerales; Glomeraceae
Description: SSU rRNA
Rfam family: Eukaryotic small subunit ribosomal RNA
Source: RNAcentral
GGCCUACCAUGGUGGUAACGGGUAACGGGGUGUUAGGGCACGACACCGGAGAGGGAGCCUGAGAAACGGCUACCACAUCCAAGGAUGGCAGCAGGCGCGCAAAUUACCCAAUCCCGACACGGGGAGGUAGUGACAAUAAAUAACAAUACGGGGUUCUUUCGGAUCUCGUAAUUGGAAUGAGUACAAUUUAAAUCUCUUAACGAGGAACAGUUGGAGGGCAAGUCUGGUGCCAGCAGCCGCGGUAAUUCCAGCUCCAAUAGCGUAUAUUAAAGUUGUUGCAGUUAAAAAGCUCGUAGUUGAAUUUCGGGGUCAGCAGGUUGGUCGUGCCACUGGUAUGUACUGGCUUCGCUGAUUCCUCCCUCUUGUAGAACCGUAAUGCCAUUAAGUUGGUGUUGCGGGGAAACAGGACUGUUACUUUGAAAAAAUUAGAGUGUUUAAAGCAGGCUAACGCUUGAAUACAUUAGCAUGGAAUAAUGAAAUAGGACGAUCGAUCCUAUUUUGUUGUUUCUAGGAUUGACGUAAUGAUUAAUAGGGAUAGUUGGGGGCAUUAGUAUUCAAUUGUCAGAGGUGAAAUUCUUGGAUUUAUUGAAGACUGACUACUGCGAAAGCAUUUGCCAAGGAUGUUUUCAUUAAUCAAGAACGAAAGUUAGGGGAUCGAAGACGAUCAGAUACCGUCGUAGUCUUAACCAUAAACUAUGCCGACUAGGGAUCGGAUGAUGUUAAUUUUUUAAUGACUCAUUCGGCGCCUUACGGGAAACCAAAGUGUUUGGGUUC